CCUACGGGAGGCAGCAGUGGGGAAUUUUGGACAAUGGGGGCAACCCUGAUCCAGCAAUGCCGCGUGUGUGAAGAAGGCCUUCGGGUUGUAAAGCACUUUUGUCAGGAACGAAAAAGUCCGGGCUAAUAUCCUGGGCUCAUGACGGUACCUGAAGAAUAAGCACCGGCUAACUACGUGCCAGCAGCCGCGGUAAUACGUAGGGUGCGAGCGUUAAUCGGAAUUACUGGGCGUAAAGCGUGCGCAGGCGGUUUUGUAAGACAGGCGUGAAAUCCCCGGGCUCAACCUGGGAAUUGCGCUUGUGACUGCAAGGCUAGAGUGUGUCAGAGGGGGGUAGAAUUCCACGUGUAGCAGUGAAAUGCGUAGAGAUGUGGAGGAAUACCGAUGGCGAAGGCAGCCCCCUGGGAUAACACUGACGCUCAUGCACGAAAGCGUGGGGAGCAAACAGGAUUAGAUACCCUUGUAGUC
RNAcentral lists this ribosomal RNA (465 nucleotides) under Candidatus Protistibacter heckmannii. RNAcentral's name for it is "bacterial SSU rRNA". It matches the Rfam family "Bacterial small subunit ribosomal RNA", at positions 338 to 795 of the family's 1533-position model. The record is from RNAcentral. Lineage: Bacteria; Pseudomonadati; Pseudomonadota; Betaproteobacteria; Burkholderiales; Burkholderiaceae.